CGAGAGGCUUCGUCAAUGGGGGCAACCCUGAACGAGCGACGCCGCGUGGGUGAUGAAGGCCUUACGGUCGUAAAGCCCUGUCAGAGGGGAAGAAACGCCAUGGUGCUAAUACCAUCGUGGUUUGACGUUACCCUCAAAGGAAGCUCCGGCUAACUCCGUGCCAGCAGCCGCGGUAACACGGGGGGAGCGAACGUUGUUCGGAAUCACUGGGCGUAAAGGGCGCGCAGGCGGCCUGGUAAGUGGGAUGUGAAAGCCCCUGGCUCAAUCAGGGAACUGCAUCUCAGACUGCCGGGCUUGAGGACGGGAGAGGAAACGGGAAUUCCCGGUGUAGCGGUGAUAUGCACUGAUAUCGGGAGGAACACCAGUGGCGAAGGCGCGUUUCUGGCCCGCUCCUGACGCUCAGGCGCGAAAGCUGGGGGAGCAAAC
RNAcentral lists this ribosomal RNA (426 nucleotides) under uncultured bacterium. RNAcentral's name for it is "bacterial SSU rRNA". It matches the Rfam family "Bacterial small subunit ribosomal RNA", at positions 356 to 773 of the family's 1533-position model. The record is from RNAcentral.